UUUUGGCACCUGCAUGGUCG
RNAcentral lists this unclassified non-coding RNA (20 nucleotides) under Chlamydomonas reinhardtii. Its description in RNAcentral is "small RNA Cre_4177". Lineage: Eukaryota; Viridiplantae; Chlorophyta; Chlorophyceae; Chlamydomonadales; Chlamydomonadaceae. The record is from RNAcentral.